CUAAAAGCCCUUAGAGUUUGAUCCUGGCUCAGGAUGAACGCUAGCUACAGGCUUAACACAUGCAAGUCGAGGGGCAGCGGUAUCGAAAGCUUGCUUUCGGUAGCCGGCGACCGGCGCACGGGUGAGUAACGCGUAUCGAACCUGCCUCAUACUCGGGAAUAGCCUUGCGAAAGUAAGAUUAAUGCCCGGUGUUUUCAGAGUCCCGCAUGAGGCUUUGAACAAAGAUUUAUCGGUAUGAGAUGGCGAUGCGUCCCAUUAGCUUGUUGGCGGGGUAACGGCCCACCAAGGCAUCGAUGGGUAGGGGUUCUGAGAGGAAGGUCCCCCACAUUGGAACUGAGACACGGUCCAAACUCCUACGGGAGGCAGCAGUGAGGAAUAUUGGUCAAUGGGCGGAAGCCUGAACCAGCCAAGUAGCGUGCAGGAAGACGGCCCUCCGGGUUGUAAACUGCUUUUAGUUGGGAAUAAAACGGGGCUCGUGAGCCCCCUUGCAUGUACCAUCAGAAAAAGGACCGGCUAAUUCCGUGCCAGCAGCCGCGGUAAUACGGAAGGUUCGGGCGUUAUCCGGAUUUAUUGGGUUUAAAGGGAGCGCAGGCGGACCUUUAAGUCAGCUGUGAAAUACGGCGGCUCAACCGUCGAACUGCAGUUGAUACUGGAGGUCUUGAGUGCACACAGGGAUGCUGGAAUUCAUGGUGUAGCGGUGAAAUGCUCAGAUAUCAUGAAGAACUCCGAUCGCGAAGGCAGGCAUCCGGGGUGCAACUGACGCUGAGGCUCGAAAGUGCGGGUAUCAAACAGGAUUAGAUACCCUGGUAGUCCGCACAGUAAACGAUGAAUACUCGCGGUUUGCGAUACAGUGUAAGCCGCCAAGCGAAAGCGUUAAGUAUUCCACCUGGGGAGUACGCCGGCAACGGUGAAACUCAAAUGAAUUGACGG
Molecule: ribosomal RNA, 930 nt
Filed under: uncultured bacterium
Lineage: Bacteria
Description: bacterial SSU rRNA
Rfam family: Bacterial small subunit ribosomal RNA
Source: RNAcentral